This 583-nucleotide ribosomal RNA is filed under the name Stenotrophomonas rhizophila. RNAcentral describes it as "bacterial SSU rRNA". It matches the Rfam family "Bacterial small subunit ribosomal RNA", at positions 61 to 633 of the family's 1533-position model. Lineage: Bacteria; Pseudomonadati; Pseudomonadota; Gammaproteobacteria; Lysobacterales; Lysobacteraceae. The record is from RNAcentral.
GUCGACGGCAGCACAGUAAGAGCUUGCUCUUAUGGGUGGCGAGUGGCGGACGGGUGAGGAUACAUCGGAAUCUACCUUUUCGUGGGGGAUAACGUAGGGAAACUUACGCUAAUACCGCAUACGACCUUCGGGUGAAAGCAGGGGACCUUCGGGCCUUGCGCGGAUAGAUGAGCCGAUGUCGGAUUAGCUAGUUGGCGGGGUAAAGGCCCACCAAGGCGACGAUCCGUAGCUGGUCUGAGAGGAUGAUCAGCCACACUGGAACUGAGACACGGUCCAGACUCCUACGGGAGGCAGCAGUGGGGAAUAUUGGACAAUGGGCGCAAGCCUGAUCCAGCCAUACCGCGUGGGUGAAGAAGGCCUUCGGGUUGUAAAGCCCUUUUGUUGGGAAAGAAAAGCAAUCGAUUAAUACUCGGUUGUUCUGACGGUACCCAAAGAAUAAGCACCGGCUAACUUCGUGCCAGCAGCCGCGGUAAUACGAAGGGUGCAAGCGUUACUCGGAAUUACUGGGCGUAAAGCGUGCGUAGGUGGUUGUUUAAGUCUGUUGUGAAAGCCCUGGGCUCAACCUGGGAAUUGCAGUGGAUAC